Molecule: ribosomal RNA, 463 nt
Filed under: Vreelandella stevensii
Lineage: Bacteria; Pseudomonadati; Pseudomonadota; Gammaproteobacteria; Oceanospirillales; Halomonadaceae
Description: partial 16S ribosomal RNA
Rfam family: Bacterial small subunit ribosomal RNA
Source: RNAcentral
CCACGGGUGGCUGCAGUGGGGAAUAUUGGACAAUGGGCGAAAGCCUGAUCCAGCCAUGCCGCGUGUGUGAAGAAGGCCUUCGGGUUGUAAAGCACUUUCAGUGGGGAAGAAAGCCUUGGGGCUAAUACCCUCGAGGAAGGACAUCACCCACAGAAGAAGCACCGGCUAACUCCGUGCCAGCAGCCGCGGUAAUACGGAGGGUGCGAGCGUUAAUCGGAAUUACUGGGCGUAAAGCGCGCGUAGGCGGUCUGAUAAGCCGGUUGUGAAAGCCCCGGGCUCAACCUGGGAACGGCAUCCGGAACUGUCAGGCUAGAGUGCAGGAGAGGAAGGUAGAAUUCCCGGUGUAGCGGUGAAAUGCGUAGAGAUCGGGAGGAAUACCAGUGGCGAAGGCGGCCUUCUGGACUGACACUGACGCUGAGGUGCGAAAGCGUGGGUAGCAAACAGGAUUAGAUACCCUAGUAGC